ACCCUUUAAUGUUUGAUGUUCUAACGUGGACCCGUGAUCCGGGUUGCGGACAGUGUCUGGUGGGUAGUUUGACUGGGGCGGUCUCCUCCUAAAGAGUAACGGAGGAGCACGAAGGUUGGCUAAUCCUGGUCGGACAUCAGGAGGUUAGUGCAAUGGCAUAAGCCAGCUUGACUGCGAGCGUGACGGCGCGAGCAGGUGCGAAAGCAGGUCAUAGUGAUCCGGUGGUUCUGAAUGGAAGGGCCAUCGCUCAACGGAUAAAAGGUACUCCGGGGAUAACAGGCUGAUACCGCCCAAGAGUUCAUAUCGACGGCGGUGUUUGGCACCUCGAUGUCGGCUCAUCACAUCCUGGGGCUGAAGUAGGUCCCAAGGGUAUGGCUGUUCGCCAUUUAAAGUGGUACGCGAGCUGGGUUUAGAACGUCGUGAGACAGUUCGGUCCCUAUCUGCCGUGGGCGCUGGAGAACUGAGGGGGGCUGCUCCUAGUACGAGAGGACCGGAGUGGACGCAUCACUGGUGUUCGGGUUGUCAUGCCAAUGGCACUGCCCGGUAGCUAAAUGCGGAAGAGAUAAGUGCUGAAAGCAUCUAAGCACGAAACUUGCCCCG
RNAcentral lists this ribosomal RNA (600 nucleotides) under Salmonella enterica. RNAcentral describes it as "partial 23S ribosomal RNA". It matches the Rfam family "Bacterial large subunit ribosomal RNA", at positions 2202 to 2801 of the family's 2925-position model. Lineage: Bacteria; Pseudomonadati; Pseudomonadota; Gammaproteobacteria; Enterobacterales; Enterobacteriaceae. The record is from RNAcentral.